GACCCUAUCGUCUAGUGGUUAGGACACCGCCCUUUCACGGCGGUAACCGGGGUUCAAGUCCCCGUAGGGUCGCCA
Molecule: transfer RNA, 75 nt
Filed under: Verrucomicrobiota bacterium
Lineage: Bacteria; Pseudomonadati; Verrucomicrobiota
Description: tRNA-Glu
Rfam family: tRNA
About the family: Transfer RNA (tRNA) molecules are approximately 80 nucleotides in length. Their secondary structure includes four short double-helical elements and three loops (D, anti-codon, and T loops).
Source: RNAcentral